GAGUUUGAUCCUGGCUCAGAUUGAACGCUGGCGGAAUGCUUUACACAUGCAAGUCGAACGGCAGCACGGGAGCUUGCUCCUGGUGGCGAGUGGCGAACGGGUGAGUAAUGCGUCGGAACGUACCGAGUAAUGGGGGAUAACGCAGCGAAAGCUGUGCUAAUACCGCAUACGCCCUGAGGGGGAAAGUGGGGGAUCGCAAGACCUCACGUUAUUCGAGCGGCCGACGUCUGAUUAGCUAGUUGGUGGGGUAAUGGCCUACCAAGGCGACGAUCAGUAGCGGGUCUGAGAGGAUGAUCCGCCACACUGGAACUGAGACACGGUCCAGACUCCUACGGGAGGCAGCAGUGGGGAAUUUUGGACAAUGGGGGCAACCCUGAUCCAGCCAUUCCGCGUGAGUGAAGAAGGCCUUCGGGUUGUAAAGCUCUUUCAGCUGGAACGAAACGGUACGCUCUAACAUAGCGUGCUAAUGACGGUACCGGCAGAAGAAGCACCGGCUAACUACGUGCCAGCAGCCGCGGUAAUACGUAGGGUGCGAGCGUUAAUCGGAAUUACUGGGCGUAAAGCGUGCGCAGGCGGAUUGUUAAGCAAGAUGUGAAAUCCCCGGGCUUAACCUGGGAAUGGCAUUUUGAACUGGCAGUCUAGAGUGCGUCAGAGGGGGGUGGAAUUCCACGUGUAGCAGUGAAAUGCGUAGAGAUGUGGAGGAACACCAAUGGCGAAGGCAGCCCCCUGGGAUGACACUGACGCUCAUGUACGAAAGCGUGGGUAGCAAACAGGAUUAGAUACCCUGGUAGUCG
This 794-nucleotide ribosomal RNA is filed under the name uncultured bacterium. Its description in RNAcentral is "bacterial SSU rRNA". It matches the Rfam family "Bacterial small subunit ribosomal RNA", at positions 9 to 796 of the family's 1533-position model. The record is from RNAcentral.